RNAcentral lists this ribosomal RNA (1395 nucleotides) under uncultured organism. RNAcentral's name for it is "bacterial SSU rRNA". It matches the Rfam family "Bacterial small subunit ribosomal RNA". The record is from RNAcentral.
GCGGCGUGCUUACACAUGCAAGUCGAACGAGAAAGCUCCUUCGGGAGUGAGUACAGUGGCGAACGGGUGCGUAACACGUUGGUGACCUGCCUUGAGGAGGGGGACAACCGUGGGAAACCACGGCUAAUACCCCGGAUGUCCAAACUGUUAGAGGGUUUAGACUAAAACUUCGGUGCCUCAAGAGGGGCCUGCGGGCUAUCAGCUUGUUGGUGGGGUAAUGGCCUACCAAGGCUAAGACGGCUAGGGGGCGUGAGAGCGCAACCCCCCACAAUGGAACUGAGACACGGUCCAUACUCCUACGGGAGGCAGCAGUGAGGAAUAUUGCGCAAUGGGGGAAACCCUGACGCAGCAACGCCGCGUGAACGAUGAAGGCCUUCGGGUCGUAAAGUUCUUUUCUAAGGGAAGAUAGUGACGGUACCUUAGGAAUAAGUCCCGGCUAACUACGUGCCAGCAGCCGCGGUAAAACGUAGGGGGCGAGCGUUAUCCGGAUUUAUUGGGCGUAAAGCGCACGUAGGUGGCGCUGUAAGUUAGACGUGAAAGCUCUCGGCUCAACUGAGAGAGGUCGUUUAAAACUGCAGUGCUUGAGGUUAGAAGAGGAGAGCAGAAUUCCCGGUGUAGUGGUGGAAUGCGUAGAUAUCGGGAGGAAUACCAGUGGCGAAGGCGGCUCUCUAGUCUACACCUGACACUGAGGUGCGAAAGCGUGGGUAGCGAACGGGAUUAGAUACCCCGGUAGUCCACGCUGUAAACGAUGGAUACUAGGUGUAGGGGGUCAUUUAACCCCUCUGUGCCGAAGCAAACGCGUUAAGUAUCCCGCCUGGGGACUACGGCCGCAAGGUUAAAACUCAAAGGAAUUGACGGGGGCCCGCACAAGCAGCGGAGCGUGUGGUUUAAUUCGAUGAUACGCGAAGAACCUUACCUGGGCUGAACUACGUGGUAGUAGUGAAGCGAAAGCGGAUCGACCCUUCGGGGAGCCUCGAUAGGUGCUGCAUGGCUGUCGUCGGCUCGUGUCGUGAGAUGUUGGGUUAAGUCCCGCAACGAGCGCAACCCUCGCCGCUAGUUACAAGUGUCUAGCGAGACUGCCGGUAUCAAACCGGAGGAAGGUGGGGAUGACGUCAAGUCAGCAUGGUCUUUAUGUCCAGGGCUACACACACGCUACAAUGGUCGGGCCAUUAGUUUGCACACCGCGAGGUGGAGCUAAUCCUCAAAGCCGAUCUCAGUUCGGAUUGUAGUCUGCAACUCGACUACAUGAAGGCGGAGUUGCUAGUAACCGCGCGUCAGCAUAGUGCGGUGAAUGCGUUCCCGGGCCUUGACACACCGCCCGUCACAUCAUGGGAGUCGGUAACACCUGAAGUCGGUGACCUAACCGAAAGGGGGGAGCUGCCUAAGGUGGGAUCG